RNAcentral lists this ribosomal RNA (429 nucleotides) under Gemmatimonadota bacterium. RNAcentral's name for it is "Gemmatimonadetes bacterium partial 16S ribosomal RNA". It matches the Rfam family "Bacterial small subunit ribosomal RNA", at positions 355 to 776 of the family's 1533-position model. Lineage: Bacteria; Pseudomonadati; Gemmatimonadota. The record is from RNAcentral.
UAGGGAAUCUUCGGCAAUGGACGAAAGUCUGACCGAGCAACGCCGCGUGAGUGAAGAAGGUUUUCGGAUCGUAAAACUCUGUUGUUAGAGAAGAACAAGGACGUUAGUAACUGAACGUCCCCUGACGGUAUCUAACCAGAAAGCCACGGCUAACUACGUGCCAGCAGCCGCGGUAAUACGUAGGUUGCAAGCGUUGUCCGGAUUUAUUGGGCGUAAAGCGAGCGCAGGCGGUUUCUUAAGUUUGAUGUGAAAGCCCCCGGCUCAACCGGGGAGGGUCAUUGGAAACUGGGAGACUUGAGUGCAGAAGAGGAGAGUGGAAUUCCAUGUGUAGCGGUGAAAUGCGUAGAUAUAUGGAGGAACACCAGUGGCGAAGGCGGCUCUCUGGUCUGUAACUGACGCUGAGGCUCGAAAGCGUGGGGAGCAAACAGG